RNAcentral lists this ribosomal RNA (497 nucleotides) under uncultured bacterium. RNAcentral's name for it is "partial 16S ribosomal RNA". It matches the Rfam family "Bacterial small subunit ribosomal RNA", at positions 28 to 507 of the family's 1533-position model. The record is from RNAcentral.
GAUGAACGCUGGCGGCGUGCCUAAUACAUGCAAGUCGAGCGAACAGACGAGGAGCUUGCUCCUCUGACGUUAGCGGCGGACGGGUGAGUAACACGUGGAUAACCUACCUAUAAGACUGGGAUAACUUCGGGAAACCGGAGCUAAUACCGGAUAAUAUAUUGAACCGCAUGGUUUAAUAGUGAAAGACGGUUUUGCUGUCACUUAUAGAUGGAUCCGCGCCGCAUUAGCUAGUUGGUAAGGUAACGGCUUACCAAGGCAACGAUGCGUAGCCGACCUGAGAGGGUGAUCGGCCACACUGGAACUGAGACACGGUCCAGACUCCGACGGGAGGCAGCAGUAGGGAAUCUUCCGCAAUGGGCGAAAGCUUGACGGGGCAACGCCGCGUGAGUGAUGAAGGUCUUCGGAUCGUAAAACUCUGUUAUUAGGGAAGAACAAAUGUGUAAGUAACUAUGCACGUCUUGACGGUACCUAAUCAGAAAGCCACGGCUAACUACGUG